GACGAACGCUGGCGGCGUGCUUAACACAUGCAAGUCGAACGAAGCUUGAUUACGGAUUCUUCGGAUGAAGUAUGAUAUGACUGAGUGGCGGACGGGUGAGUAACGCGUGAGUAACCUGCCCUUCAGAGGGGGAUAGCGUUUGGAAACGAACGGUAAUACCGCAUAAUGUAUUUUGACCGCAUGAUCGAAAUACCCAAGAUUUAUCGCUGAAGGAUGGACUCGCGUCUGAUUAGGUAGUAGGGGGGGUAACGGCCUACCAAGCCGACGACCAGUAGCCGGACUGCUAGGUUGCUCGGCCACAUUCGGACUGAGACACGGCCCAGACUCCUACGGGAGGCAGCAGUGGGGUAUAUUGCACAAUGGGCGCAAGCCUGAUGCAGCAACGCCGCGUGAAGGAAGACGGUUUUCGGAUUGUAAACUUCUGUUCUUAGUGAAGAAUAAUGACGGUAGCUAAGGAGUAAGCCACGGCUAACUACGUG
RNAcentral lists this ribosomal RNA (479 nucleotides) under uncultured bacterium. Its description in RNAcentral is "partial 16S ribosomal RNA". It matches the Rfam family "Bacterial small subunit ribosomal RNA", at positions 28 to 507 of the family's 1533-position model. The record is from RNAcentral.